This 137-nucleotide ribosomal RNA is filed under the name uncultured eukaryote. RNAcentral describes it as "partial 18S ribosomal RNA". It matches the Rfam family "Eukaryotic small subunit ribosomal RNA", at positions 1299 to 1458 of the family's 1831-position model. The record is from RNAcentral.
UGGUGGAGUGAUUUGUCUGCUUAAUUGCGAUAACGAACGAGACCUUAACCUGCUAAAUAGCCCGGCCCGCUUUUGCGGGUCGCUGGCUUCUUAGAGGGACUAUCGGCUCAAGCCGAUGGAAGUUUGAGGCAAUAACA